AGGUAAUGUGAGCCACCAAAUGAACAACAUCAACCUUAAGAUACUUCCAUAAACCUCUCCGCAUCCCUCAAAAGCCCUAGCUUUGUAGUCUCACUCCCACCAACACACCACCCUCAAAAUUUCCGUCUCCUCCUUCCAAUAACGCAAGCCAACAUCAUUUCUUCACAUAAAGGUCGCAUCUUUUUUACCCUUUAAAGUAACCCUACUGCAAAAAAAUGGAGACCUCACAUGUACCAGAAGCAGUUCUUGAUUCUGCCAACACUACCUUAGCAAAUCUUGAACUGCUUGAGAUUCAAUUGCUUCCUUUUCUGUCUCUGUCUGACCCUGAAAUUCUUGCUGAUGUGUCUCCUCUUGAACGUGCUCACUCUCUUUUUUUGUUUGCCAAGGCCACCACUUUGCUUUUUGCAUUGAGGUUGAGAUGUAAUGGAAUUGACCCUAAUGAGCAUCCUGUCAAAACUGAACUGGAAAGGUUGAACUUGUAUCAAGACAAACUAGACCGGGCUUUGGAUUUAAGUAAAGCACCAUUGCGGCCUUCUACAACAUUGAACUUCCGAGCUGCUACCCGUUUCAUUGAGCAUUCCUUGCCUGAUCUUACCCCUGAACAGAAGAAAAGUAUGAGGGAUAUCAGUAAAGGCAACGAUGCGAAGAUGACAUAUUUGGAGAAGAGGGCUCAAAGGAAGAGAAAAUUCCAGUCAGCUAGUACCGGUUCGGUACAAGCUGCUGCCUCAGAGUUUCUGCAGAAAGCAGCUCGUGAACUUCUCGGUGAUAAUACAAGUGGUUUUAAGGGUCCUAUCGGCAUGUUAGAUGAAGACAACAUGCACGUCGGCUGAUGAUUUAAUGCAUUGGUAUCAAUAUUGCGCCUUUAGUUUUACACUGUCUAUGUUGAUUUGUACAUUAAUAAAUAGUUUCCGAUUGAUCUUGCUACGGGAUUUUACUUGACAAAUAAAAACUAAGGACUUCACAGACCAGAACUGCCUGUUUUCAUCAUUGGCCUUCUGCAAUACACAGUCUUUAUUUCUGUAGUACACAGUCUAUAUAGUUUCUACAGCCGAUUACAUUAUGGCAUGCUGGGAUUUUGAUGAGAGGUAGUUUAUCAGUCCACUGUUAGACUCCUCGUGGACAGAGCGGAGCUCUUUCAGAAGCCUCUGUUAUCCUCGGAAAUUCCGGCUGUCCUUUUAGCUUUGGCUCUGGGCAUAGAAUAAGAAAUCAUAUGAAUGUGUAGUCUAUGCUUAUGUAAUCUGUUAUCAGGCUCUUCAAACUUCCACCAGUUCCUGGUAAUCUGUGGAUAUUUUGUUUAGAUGAAUAUAACAAUCUUAAUGACAUUCUUAUGUUAUUGAAUUAAAUAUGAAGCAGCAGUGACAGUGUUCUACA
This is an RNA transcript of Mercurialis annua (annual mercury), 1371 nucleotides long. RefSeq lists it as uncharacterized. NCBI's taxonomy places the organism in Eukaryota, Viridiplantae, Streptophyta, Magnoliopsida, Malpighiales, Euphorbiaceae. The record is from RefSeq and is a predicted model, not a curated record. The transcript has 7 exons.